Molecule: RNA transcript, 938 nt
Organism: Fragaria vesca subsp. vesca
Lineage: Eukaryota; Viridiplantae; Streptophyta; Magnoliopsida; Rosales; Rosaceae
Exons: 3
Source: RefSeq, a predicted model, not a curated record
ACCCACUUUUUACCUCUCCAUCUUUGCCUUCCUCCUCCUCCUUUCCUCUGUUUCUUCUCCUCCUCUCCCUCUCGUUUUUUCUUUCUUCUCCAACUCUUCUCUUUCUAAUCAAAGAGACUUUGAACACAGAUCAAAUCUUUUAUAACUUAGUUUGUUCAAGCCACCUUUUUUUCCUUACUCGUUUUUCUUCUUCUUAAUUCUUACCCAAAGCCUACAGAAACCCACCCACCCCAGAAAAAUCCCCACACAAUCGAACCCCCAAUUUCAAGAUUCAGUUCUUUUAAAUCCCUUCUAAUUUUAUUUACAGACCCAAUGAGAAGCUGUAUUCUGAAAUUUGGAUCUUUUUGAAGGUGGUGGUGAGAAAUUGUGUUCUGAAAUUUGGAUCUUUUUGAUGAAGAGAGCUUCUCAGCAGAGAAGAGAGAGAGAAGGAAUAGAAACAAUAGAAUAAGAUUUGACAUGCCUGGUUCAUACGAUCAAAUUUGACAAUGUUAUGCUCAAGGUCAAAUCCAGGUCGGAAUUGACACAGCCACGUCGUAUUUGGCAUCUUCAAUGGAGGAACCAAAAGUUGUCAAAACUAGCUGUUGAGCCUCCACCCUGUCAUUUGACAGGGUGCUCGAUAUUACCUCGCUCGUGCGCGUGCUGCAAUAAAAUACAUCAUUCUGGCUAUCUUUGGUCCAUAUGGAUAAUAUCCUGGAAAAAUACAAGGAAGUCAAGCACAUGAUACUGUUUCUCGUAGAGAUGCUAGAGCCAUUCCUUGAUUCCGCUGUAGGCAGAUGCAAGGAUAAAAUAGGCAUUGGAGACCUAUCUUCUGCAUAUACAGAAAGCAGGAAUGGAAUUGUGCUGUUGCUAUUAAUGUGAUCUGUUCAGCAUUGCAGAAUCCAGCAGUUCUUCCUUCACUGGAAUCAGAAUGGAGGCGUGGAUCAGUUGCUUCUCGGUAA